CGUUAAUAACAAAACCGACCUUAGCUCAGUUGGUAGAGCGGAGGACUGUAGUUGUUACGACAGAUAUCCUUAGGUCGCUGGUUCGAAUCCGGCAGGUCGGAU
This 102-nucleotide transfer RNA is filed under the name Lupinus albus (white lupine). RNAcentral's name for it is "tRNA-Tyr". The stretch from base 15 to 101 matches the Rfam family "tRNA". From Rfam's summary of the family: Transfer RNA (tRNA) molecules are approximately 80 nucleotides in length. The record is from RNAcentral. Lineage: Eukaryota; Viridiplantae; Streptophyta; Magnoliopsida; Fabales; Fabaceae.